Molecule: ribosomal RNA, 388 nt
Filed under: uncultured eukaryote
Lineage: Eukaryota
Description: partial 18S ribosomal RNA
Rfam family: Eukaryotic small subunit ribosomal RNA
Source: RNAcentral
CAAUAGCGUAUAUUAAAGUUGUUGCAGUUAAAAAGCCCGUAGUUGGAUUUCUGAUCGAGACAUCAGGUCGGGUCCGAGAGGAUCAUGUACUUUGAUUUUGUUUUGAUCAUCCUUGGGGAGAGCAUUUCUGGCAUUCAGUUGUCGGGAUUGGGAUCCUCAUCGUUUACUGUGAAAAAAUUAGAGUGUUCAAAGCAGGCCUCGGCCUCUGAAUACAUUAGCAUGGAAUAAUAAGAUAGGACUUUGGUGGUCUAUUUUGUUGGUUUGCACGCCAAAGUAAUGAUUAAUAGGGAUAGUUGGGGGUAUUCGUAUUCAAUUGUCAGAGGUGAAAUUCUUGGAUUUAUGGAAGACGAACUACUGCGAAAGCAUUUACCAAGGAUGUUUUCAUUAA